This 398-nucleotide ribosomal RNA is filed under the name uncultured bacterium. Its description in RNAcentral is "bacterial SSU rRNA". It matches the Rfam family "Bacterial small subunit ribosomal RNA", at positions 140 to 518 of the family's 1533-position model. The record is from RNAcentral.
GGAAUAAUACGCCGAAAGGAGUACUAAUACCGGAUACUCUUGCUUUUCAUAAGUAUAGCAAGCAAAGUGGCCUCUGUAUAUGCUACUGCAGGGAGAGGGGUCUGCGUACCAUUAGCUAGUAGGUGGGGUAAGGGCCUACCUAGGCUACGAUGGUUAGCGGGUCUGAGAGGAUGAUCCGCCACACUGGCACUGGAACACGGGCCAGACUCCUACGGGAGGCAGCAGUGAGGAAUAUUGCGCAAUGGGGGCAACCCUGACGCAGCGACGCCGCGUGAAGUGAGGAAGGCCUUCGGGUCGUAAAGCUCUGUCAAGAGGAAAGAAGUGCAUAGCGGUUAAUACCCGUUAUGUUUGACGGUACCUCUAAAGGAAGCACCGGCUAACUCCGUGCCAGCCGCCGC